Molecule: transfer RNA, 72 nt
Filed under: Xyrichtys novacula (pearly razorfish)
Lineage: Eukaryota; Metazoa; Chordata; Actinopteri; Labriformes; Labridae
Rfam family: tRNA
About the family: Transfer RNA (tRNA) molecules are approximately 80 nucleotides in length. Their secondary structure includes four short double-helical elements and three loops (D, anti-codon, and T loops).
Source: RNAcentral
GGAGCUGUGCCUGAAGUUUAAAGGGUCACUUUGAUAGAGUGAAUAAUGAAGGUUAAAGUCCUUCCACCUCCU